RNA transcript from Nomascus leucogenys (northern white-cheeked gibbon), 2922 nucleotides. It is a transcript of the gene named calcineurin B homologous protein 1 pseudogene, with no coding region annotated. The record is from RefSeq and is a predicted model, not a curated record. Lineage: Eukaryota; Metazoa; Chordata; Mammalia; Primates; Hylobatidae. The transcript has a single exon.
AUGGCGUCUCAGGCCUCCAUCUUACUGCACGACGAAGAGCUUGAGGAGAUCAACAAGGAGACUGGCCUUUCCCACAGUCAAAUCACAUGCCUGUACAGCCGGUUCAGCAACCUGGACAAAGGAGAGAACAAGACGAUUUCCAGGGGAUUCCAGAACUUACCAUCAACCCAGUGGGGGACUGGAUUAUCAAUGCCUUCCUUCCAGAGGGAGAGGACCAGGUAGACUUCCGUGGAUUCCUGCAAACUCUGGCUCAUUUCCGAACCAUUGAGGGUAGUGAAAAGAGCAAAGAUGUGAAUGGACCUGAACCACUCAACAGCCAAAGCAACAAACUGCAGUUUGCUUUUCGACUAUAUGAUUUGGAUAAAGAUAACAAGAUCUCUCGUGACAAGCUGUUAAGGGUGCGGUGCAUGAUGGUCCAAGUAAAUAUCUCAGAUGAGCAGCUGGGCAGUAUCGCAGACAGGACCAUUCAGGAGGCUGAUCAGCAUGGGGACAGUGCCAUAUCUUUAUCACAGACUUUGCUAAGGUUUUGGAGAAGGUAGAUGUAGAACAGAAAAUGAGCAUCCGAUUUCUUCACCAAAGGACAGACAGUGAACUAUUCCUUGCGGUCUAGUAUUUAAGAAAUGGAACUUGACAGUCCUCCUGUCCACCAGCCCUGCCUCCACCCCAUCAUUCCCUUUCUCCCAAAGUACUACUGCUGUUGCAUGACAACCCCAAAUAUGUUCUGUCAACACAAACCUGCUUUUGGUCUAUAAGCAGGGCGUUACAGAAUGGUACACCCAGUCUAUUUCUUCUCAGUAUCCAUUCACCAGUUCUUCAUUUAUAAAUAUCAUCUUCCUCUGUUCUGCCGCUAAAUGCCACACAUCCAUCCAGUCUGAGAAAGGAAGAUAGGGAAUCCUGCCGAGGAACAAACCAGCAAAGCUCUUUCACUGGAUGUAGACUGCACCUGCUGCCUUCCCUCUGGCGAGUCUGCCAGCAUGCUUCUCAAUCCUUUUUAUAUGUCCUUUGCUUCCCACUUCUGUGUACAUUCAUCAUACUGUUCACAGAGUCAUGCAGUCUUUCUGCUUUUUGUGAAGCCUCAGAAUCUCCUCUGUUCUACUUGGCACCCCAAGCUAUGCCUGGUAUUGUAUUUCUGACUUGGCUCGAUAGUUCGGUGGUCUGGCAGUUUUUAUCUACCUUCAUUAUUAAAAGGCCCUCUGGGGCUGGGCGCGGUGGCUGACGCCUGUAAUCCCAGCACUGUGGGAGGCUGAGGCGGGCGGAUCACGAGGGCAGGAGAUCGAGACCAUCCUGGCUAACACGGUGAAACCCCGUCUUUACUAAAAAUACAAAAAAUUUUUAGUAAACCUGGGCGUGGUGGCGGGUGCCUGUAGUCCCAGCUACUUGGGAGGCUGAGGCAGGAGAAUGGUGUGAACCUGGGAGGCAGAGCUUGCAGUCACCCGAGAUCACGCCACUGCACUCCAGCCUGGGCAACAGAGCGAGACUCUGUCUCAAAAAAAAAAAGGCCCUCUGGAAUGUUGCCUCUCCAGAAGCUUUUUGGUAACCAACACUUCUCUCAGGAGUAUGAGAUCAUCCUCUGCACUCUCCUCUGUCAUCAAAGGGCUGCUGGGUGGAGAUAUUCUUGAAAGGUGGCCUUGGUGAGAGGUGUGGAGUCAAGUCUUCUAGGUUGCUUGCCCACGUCACUCUACCUCUGGCCUCUGAUUCUCAACUUUGUACCUAUGGGGCAUCCCUUGUUAGUGCAGUGUUGACUAUUCAAAAAGUAGCAAUAUGCCUGCAGAUUUGCUUAGUCUUGGGACACCAUUACCACCAGAGUGGCUGCUCAGACAGUCCGCUUGGGGACUUUCUCAUGGCUUUUUGAACAAGGAGGCCGCGCACCCUGUGAAGCCUCUGCAUUCACACCUCUGCUGCAUGGUUUAUGCCUCAGUGUUAUGUGCACUGGAAUGCUUUUCACUUUAUGUUUCCAAGUUAGAAAGAUUAGUGUGACGGAAGUGCCUAACAUAUCCUAGUCCAAAAUAUUUGAAGAUUGUUCUCUGUGUCUUGAAGUUUUGCACAAAAUUCUUUACGAAUUUUACACUUGGCAAAUGUUAAUGCUAGAAGCCAUAGUCCGCUCCUAAUACAAGUCCAAAGCAUUGACUUGUAUCAUUAGCUCCCUGGUUACAUUGGUUUCCCAGCUCCUUGUGUAGAACACUGCUAAUCCCUUAGAAACAAGAGGUCUGGCACUAGUAGCACAACCUCAGGUGGCAUUCCAAGUCUUUGAGCAAGUCACAGCAACUUUUCUGCCGAAGUCAGCUUAGUUUAGACUUCAGUGAAUCAGGCUGUUGCCAUCCUAAUGUAUAUCUCUGUGAGUCUGUUCAUUCACGUAUCUGCCGUUGGCUGACUUUCUUGACUCACUGCUUGCUUGCCAGUUUCCUUGCUUUGGAAAACUAUUGAAGAUGUGUACAUAAUUCUUCAGGAAGGAGAUUGCUAAAAAAUACACUGCAAAGCGAUGGAAAAGGGUGGAGAACAGGGGAGUAGUCAGGUUGGAUGGCUCAAAUAUAAAUGAACGAGGAAUUCUUUAUGAAGUAUCAGUUGGACUUUGUGAUCGAGUGAUGUAAUAUAGGAAUUAUAUAGAAAGGGAAGAAUAUCUGAUACUGAUCUGUUAGAUACUUCAGAGGCUCCUUGAUUUGCAUAUUUAAAGUUCCUAAAAUUAUAGCUUUUCCCUUUUUUUGGCUGUACAGCAGACUGUUUUAAUCCACGGUUGUGCCUUAAAAUUCCAUUAAAAUUGUGUCUUCAGUCCGUCAAUAAAUACUUGUGGUUAAAACAAAACAAAAAUUAUUUACUGCACGCUGACUAAGGGCAGGGCUCUAUCAGUGUGCAUCGAGUGGCCUCGUAAGCUGUGAACAGAGUGCAUGUGGGACAUGGGAUGAAGUCUCUUCUACCUGAUUUUAA